Molecule: ribosomal RNA, 200 nt
Filed under: uncultured bacterium
Lineage: Bacteria
Description: partial 16S ribosomal RNA
Rfam family: Bacterial small subunit ribosomal RNA
Source: RNAcentral
UACGAAGGGGGCUAGCGUUGCUCGGAAUUACUGGGCGUAAAGCGCACGUAGGCGGUCUUUUAAGUCGGGGGUGAAAUCCUGGAGCUCAACUCCAGAACUGCCUUCGAUACUGGAAGACUCGAGUCCGGGAGAGGUGAGUGGAACUGCGAGUGUAGAGGUGAAAUUCGUAGAUAUUCGCAAGAACACCAGUGGCGAAGGCG